UAAUAAUAUAAAACUGUUAGACCCCGAAAAUAAAAGAUCUAAAAAUAUUUCACCAUUUAGAGUUAUUACAUAGUAUUGUUGCAUUACUACUUAAAGAUAUGUUUUUAGGGGCGAAAGGCCUUCACUUUUAUUGAUAUCUGGAUAAAUAUUAAAUAAAUUUAGUUUAAGAUAUAAUUAUAAUGUGAUAAGAUAUUAUAAGAUGAAAUUACUAAAUGGAGAUUAAAAUCAUUAACUAAUACUUAGCGAUGCUACUUUUGUGAUAAUAUGUCUCUACUUAUUAUUCUAUUGUAAUAUUUUAUUUUAAUUAAAUCAUAUUAAGAUAAGUAAUGUAUAAAUUAGUAUAUAUAUAUAUAAUAAAUUUGAGUGAAGGAAUUCGGCAAGUAUUUUGUACGACUGUUUAUCAAAAACAUAGCCAGUAGAUAAUAAAUUACUGGUGUGACCUGCCCAGUGAGAUUUUUAACGGCCGCAGUACCCUGACUGUGCAAAGGUAGCAUAAUCAUUUGGCUUUUAAUUGAAGUCUCGUAUGAAAGGAAAAACGUAUAAAGACUGUCUCCAGAGAUAAAUUUGUUAAAGUUGCUCUAUAAGGUGAAAAGACCUUAGAUAAUAAUAAUAGACGAGAAGACCCUUAGAAUUUUAAUAAAAUCAAAAACUAUAAAUGUGGUAAUUUUUGUUGGGGCAACACUUUUCCAUAAAAUAAAAAUACCUACUAACUAUAUAACGAAUAAGUAUAAUAAAAUAUAAAUUACCUAAGGGAUAACAGCAUAAUUUUAAGUAGAGAUUGUGACCUCGAUGUUGGACUAGGAACUAUUAAGGCUAAUCGUUUUAAUAUAAUAGGUUCUGUUCGAACUUUAUUUCCUA
Molecule: ribosomal RNA, 858 nt
Filed under: Montenegrina laxa iba
Lineage: Eukaryota; Metazoa; Mollusca; Gastropoda; Stylommatophora; Clausiliidae
Description: partial 16S ribosomal RNA
Rfam family: Archaeal large subunit ribosomal RNA (bases 355-599)
Source: RNAcentral